CGUCAUUUAGAAGAGCUCUCUAAAUCAUAGAUCAUGGUCGAUUCAUCAUUUGGAGGAGCUUUCCGAUGAGGUGGACUUCUUCAGAUUUCCUCCUCGGCUUUGUCAGCCUUAUAGGAUUUCUUCUUUGGAUUUUAUCCUUAAAUUGAUGACGGUCAGUAGCACCCUCCUUGAUACAGAUGUAUUUCUAUGCGUACUUGAGGAGUUCGGUG
Molecule: long non-coding RNA, 209 nt
Filed under: Elaeis guineensis (African oil palm)
Lineage: Eukaryota; Viridiplantae; Streptophyta; Magnoliopsida; Arecales; Arecaceae
Description: long non-coding RNA (EGUI_LNC010036)
Source: RNAcentral